UGACUGUGCUAAGGUAGCAUAAUAAUUUGUCUUUUAAAUGGAGACUGGAAUGAAAGGUUUUAUUGGAGUAUAUUGAUGAUUUAAUAAACUUGUGAAGUUAGGGUUUAAGUUAAAACCCUUAAACUAUUUUGAGGGACGAGAAGACCCUGUGGAUCUUUAUUUUGAGCAAUUUAAAUAUUUAUAAUUUUUUUACUUCGCAAAAAAUUUGAUUGGGACGAUUUUUGUUUUAACAUAAAUUAUUUAAUUUAUAAAGAUCCUGUUUAAGGAAUAAAGAUUAAGUUACCCCAGGGAUAACAGCGUUAUAUUAUUGGAUAGUUCAUAUUGAUAAUAAUGUUUGCGACCUCGAUGUUGAAUUAAA
This 358-nucleotide ribosomal RNA is filed under the name Eucypris afghanistanensis. RNAcentral describes it as "partial large subunit ribosomal RNA". It matches the Rfam family "Bacterial large subunit ribosomal RNA", at positions 1943 to 2541 of the family's 2925-position model. Lineage: Eukaryota; Metazoa; Arthropoda; Ostracoda; Podocopida; Cyprididae. The record is from RNAcentral.